CCUACGGGGGGCUGCAGUGGGGAAUAUUGGACAAUGGGGGCAACCCUGAUCCAGCCAUGCCGCGUGUGUGAAGAAGGCCCUCGGGUUGUAAAGCACUUUCAGUGAGGAAGAACGCCUGGUGGUUAAUACCCAUCAGGAAAGACAUCACUCACAGAAGAAGCACCGGCUAACUCCGUGCCAGCAGCCGCGGUAAUACGGAGGGUGCGAGCGUUAAUCUGAAUUACUGGGCGUAAAGCGCGCGUAGGUGGCUUGAUAAGCCGGUUGUGAAAGCCCCGGGCUCAACCUGGGAACGGCAUCCGGAACUGUCAAGCUAGAGUGCAGGAGAGGAAGGUAGAAUUCCCGGUGUAGCGGUGAAAUGCGUAGAGAUCGGGAGGAAUACCAGUGGCGAAGGCGGCCUUCUGGACUGACACUGACACUGAGGUGCGAAAGCGUGGGUAGCAAACAGGAUUAGAUACCCUAGUAGUC
This 465-nucleotide ribosomal RNA is filed under the name Vreelandella stevensii. RNAcentral describes it as "partial 16S ribosomal RNA". It matches the Rfam family "Bacterial small subunit ribosomal RNA", at positions 338 to 795 of the family's 1533-position model. The record is from RNAcentral. Lineage: Bacteria; Pseudomonadati; Pseudomonadota; Gammaproteobacteria; Oceanospirillales; Halomonadaceae.